RNAcentral lists this ribosomal RNA (493 nucleotides) under uncultured bacterium. Its description in RNAcentral is "partial 16S ribosomal RNA". It matches the Rfam family "Bacterial small subunit ribosomal RNA", at positions 30 to 506 of the family's 1533-position model. The record is from RNAcentral.
AUUGAACGCUGGCGGCAUGCUUUACACAUGCAAGUCGAACGGCAGCGGGGAGGAGCUUGCUUCUCUGCCGGCGAGUGGCGAACGGGUGAGUAAUACAUCGGAACGUGUCGAGAGGAGGGGGAUAACCACCCGAAAGGGUGGCUAAUACCGCAUAAAUUCUGAGGAAGAAAGCUGGGGACCUAGGAAUAGGCCUAGCGCUUUUUGAGCGGCCGAUGUCGGAUUAGCUAGUUGGUGAGGUAAAGGCUCACCAAGGCGAAGAUCUGUAGCGGGUCUGAGAGGAUGAUCCGCCACACUGGGACUGAGACACGGCCCAGACUCCUACGGGAGGCAGCAGUGGGGAAUUUUGGACAAUGGGGGCAACCCUGAUCCAGCCAUGCCGCGUGUAUGAAGAAGGCCUUAGGGUUGUAAAGUACUUUUGUUAGGGAAGAAAAGUCAGCUGUGAAUAAUGGCUGAUACUGACGGUACCUAAAGAAUAAGCACCGGCUAACUACGU